Molecule: non-coding RNA, 385 nt
Organism: Maylandia zebra (zebra mbuna)
Lineage: Eukaryota; Metazoa; Chordata; Actinopteri; Cichliformes; Cichlidae
Source: RefSeq, a predicted model, not a curated record
UGACGACCUUGCGUCUAGUGCGCAGGAAGUAUUACCUCUCUCUUCCUGUGAGAUCUUCCCUCUGAUGGCGGUCAAGUACGUGUCGGAGCGCAUGGAAAAAGUAUCUUGGCCCCGAACUCUGACCACAAAGGGAAUAACGUCUGUCAAGUUAUUUGUGUCUGAAAAUCCCGAUUGGUUUUUUUGAACUACUAGAAGGAUUCUGGAGAACCACUGACGGCGAGAACAGCCCAAAUGAGAUCCUGGAUGAUCGUGAAAUGGUGUGGCCAGCCAUGCGAUCGGAUUGUGGGAUUUGCCUGAGAAACUGAUUCAAGCAACCCUGGAUUACAGAUAAGCCCUAUGCACUACUUUUCCUACCCGGAUAAUAGGGUUUGCACACUGACAAUUC